UCCAGGGCAACCUAGUGGACAUGGCAUCUGUCCGGUAAGCGGAACACUGUGGGUUCGAUUCCCAUCCCUGGAC
RNAcentral lists this transfer RNA (73 nucleotides) under Cordylochernes scorpioides. RNAcentral's name for it is "tRNA-Thr". It matches the Rfam family "tRNA". From Rfam's summary of the family: Transfer RNA (tRNA) molecules are approximately 80 nucleotides in length. Their secondary structure includes four short double-helical elements and three loops (D, anti-codon, and T loops). The record is from RNAcentral. Lineage: Eukaryota; Metazoa; Arthropoda; Arachnida; Pseudoscorpiones; Chernetidae.